GACACAGUGGGUGCAGUUGGUAGCAUUGUUGUCUUGCAGCAAGAAGAUCCUGGGUUCGACUCCCGGCUGGGGGUUU
Ataeniobius toweri is the source of this 76-nucleotide non-coding RNA. NCBI's taxonomy places the organism in Eukaryota, Metazoa, Chordata, Actinopteri, Cyprinodontiformes, Goodeidae. The record is from the annotation of a GenBank genome assembly.